UACGAGGGUGGCGAGCGUUGUUCGGAAUUAUUGGGCGUAAAGGGUGCGUAGGCGGUUUGGUAAGUCUGAUGUGAAAUCUAUGGGCUCAACUCAUAGUCUGCAUCGGAAACUGCCGGGCUUGAGUAUGGGAGAGGUGAGUGGAAUUCCUGGUGUAGCGGUGAAAUGCGUAGAUAUCAGGAGGAACACCUGUGGCGAAAGCGGCUCACUGGACCAUAACUGACGCUGAUGCACGAAAGCUAGGGGAGCAAACAGG
RNAcentral lists this ribosomal RNA (253 nucleotides) under uncultured bacterium. Its description in RNAcentral is "partial 16S ribosomal RNA". It matches the Rfam family "Bacterial small subunit ribosomal RNA", at positions 524 to 776 of the family's 1533-position model. The record is from RNAcentral.